Molecule: ribosomal RNA, 275 nt
Filed under: uncultured bacterium
Lineage: Bacteria
Description: partial 16S ribosomal RNA
Rfam family: Bacterial small subunit ribosomal RNA
Source: RNAcentral
GCGUGAGUGAAGAAGGCCCUAGGGUUGUAAAACUCUUUCAGUAGCGAUGAUGAUGACAGUAGCUACAGAAGAAGCACCGGCUAACUUCGUGCCAGCAGCCGCGGUAAUACGAAGGGUGCUAGCGUUGUUCGGAAUUACUGGGCGUAAAGCGCGCGUAGGCGGAUGAAUCAGUCAGAGGUGAAAGCCCCGAGCUCAACUUGGGAACUGCCUUUGAUACUGUUCAUCUUGAGUCCGAGAGAGGGUAGUGGAAUUCCCAGUGUAGAGGUGAAAUUCGU